Molecule: ribosomal RNA, 453 nt
Filed under: uncultured bacterium
Lineage: Bacteria
Description: partial 16S ribosomal RNA
Rfam family: Bacterial small subunit ribosomal RNA
Source: RNAcentral
UGGGGAAUAUUGCACAAUGGGCGCAAGCCUGAUGCAGCCAUGCCGCGUGUGUGAAGAAGGCCUUCGGGUUGUAAAGCACUUUCAGCGAGGAGGAAGGUGGUGAGCUUAAUACGCUCAUCAAUUGACGUUACUCGCAGAAGAAGCACCGGCUAACUCCGUGCCAGCAGCCGCGGUAAUACGGAGGGUGCAAGCGUUAAUCGGAAUUACUGGGCGUAAAGCGCACGCAGGCGGUUUGUUAAGUCAGAUGUGAAAUCCCCGGGCUCAACCUGGGAACUGCAUUUGAAACUGGCAAGCUAGAGUCUCGUAGAGGGGGGUAGAAUUUCCAGGUGUAGCGGUGAAAUGCGUAGAGAUCUGGAGGAAUACCGGUGGCGAAGGCGGCCCCCUGGACGAAGACUGACGCUCAGGUGCGAAAAGCGUGGGGCAGCAAACAGGAUUAGAUACCCUGGUAGUCCA